Molecule: long non-coding RNA, 215 nt
Organism: Vicia villosa (hairy vetch)
Lineage: Eukaryota; Viridiplantae; Streptophyta; Magnoliopsida; Fabales; Fabaceae
Exons: 3
Source: RefSeq, a predicted model, not a curated record
AGGAUUCUAUCCAGCCAUUCAGAAUUUGGAGAGCUGAUUUGAGAUCGAAUUGAUAAUCUGAAAAAUAAUGACUUGGCUGAGACCCAUCGAUACUGAGUUUUGAGGUUUAUCAGUUGGGGACUAGAGCGGGAACAUCGUUUUUGGAGACAGUUAGAUCUUUUGAUCAGGCUGCUGGAAAGGUCAAGCCAUGUUGUUUACGUUGCUGGGUGAUUGGG